RNAcentral lists this ribosomal RNA (253 nucleotides) under uncultured bacterium. RNAcentral's name for it is "partial 16S ribosomal RNA". It matches the Rfam family "Bacterial small subunit ribosomal RNA", at positions 524 to 776 of the family's 1533-position model. The record is from RNAcentral.
UACGGAGGGUGCAAGCGUUAUCCGGAUUCACUGGGUUUAAAGGGUGCGUAGGCGGGCAGGUAAGUCAGUGGUGAAAUCCCGAAGCUUAACUUCGGAACUGCCAUUGAUACUACUUGUCUUGAAUACUGUGGAGGUGGGCGGAAUAUGUCAUGUAGCGGUGAAAUGCUUAGAUAUGACAUAGAACACCGAUUGCGAAGGCAGCUCACUACACGGCGAUUGACGCUGAGGCACGAAAGCGUGGGGAUCAAACAGG